Gymnodraco acuticeps is the source of this 323-nucleotide non-coding RNA. Lineage: Eukaryota; Metazoa; Chordata; Actinopteri; Perciformes; Bathydraconidae. The record is from the annotation of a RefSeq genome assembly.
AGCUCCAUCAGGUCACCUUCAACACCAACCAUGUUCUCUGUAGCUCUGCUGCUGCUGCUGGCUGCUGGAUCCUGUGUGAAGUGUGAACAGUUGAUACAGCCAGCCUCUGUGACAGCUACUACACAGCCUGGAUCAGACAGCCUGCAGGGAAAGGACUGGAGUGGAUAGGAAUGAAAUACACUGGAGAUUCAUACUAUAAAGAUUCACUGAAGAGCAAGUUCAGUAUCGACUUAGACUCUUCCAGCAACACAGUGACUCUGAACGGACAGAGCGUGCAGCCUGGAGACUCUGCUGUGUAUUACUGUGCCAGAGACAAACUUUGA